UUGAGUUUCCAGAAUACACCUGAGUCUCUCUCACUCCCAUCUAUCCUACUCAUGCUUUAUCAACUUAGUACAUAAAAGCAGUUUGUUAGUAUCUUUGCUUUUUUUUAGAUACUAAUUCAUGAUCUUCCUCCAAGAUGGCUAGAGAAAUGGCCCAGGAAAUCAGCUUUUGUUAGACUUGCUGGUGAAGGAGAUUGGUCCCAUCAAUUUAAGGUUGUAGCUUUACUCAGGAUUUACCGUUUCCAUGUAUAGUUUUUUAACUAUGCUUCCCUGGCUAAGAAUGUCACAUAUUGUAUGUAUAUAGCUGGUGGUUCAAUGGCGGGAACCAUACAUGAAACCUUCCUUGCAAUAUACUUUUCCCUUUGCUAUGUAGAAUAACUGAUGCCCUGCCUGAUGUGUUUGUGUGGUGUAUUGUUCUAGAUUCUUAUUAUCUGUAUUGAUAAUGCCACAGUUUUUUCUGCCUUUGUAGAUGAAGAGUAGCGAAUUGUUUGGACUGAAUUCUGAAUAUGCUGCAUUUGUGCCAUGUGAGAGAAAUAGCAUAUUGUUAUCAUCUUGAAAUAGUAGACAAAAAUGUACAUUGAGGAGCUGGUCACUUCAGUACAGACUACAGAGAGAUGACGGCUUGAGAUAUAGUCGCAGUACCAUCAUUGGCUGCAAGAAUUUGCUCCCUGGAAGCGGAAAUGUCAAGACGGUAGCCUCAUAUUUUCCCCUCACGUGAUGAAUUCAUAAAAGAACAAUAUUUUGGUUGUCCAUGCAAUCCAACAAUUGAAUGCAGUAUUUUGCUCAUACAAGAGAAGCAACCAAAGAUCAUACAUCAGCUACAGAGCUCCGCUGUCUCCAUUCCCGUCUGCACGCUGCUGCCUCUAUCCUCUUCCCCUCUUCUUGGUGCAUAUAGUGCCUGGCUGGUCGGACGCUUUUGAUUGCUGGCCUACGGUUUGAGGUAAAAAUGUUUUGGGCAGAUCGCAAAUGGAAGAAUCACAGCGCACAUAAAACUAAGGGCACUAUCAUGUUUUGAGGUACAAGAUUUCGUGAUUUUUCUUCACAUUUGAUCUUUAAUCUCUUUUAUUCAUUUUCAUAAUAUAAGAUUGAUUAGAUGAGAUAUUGCUGCAUGCUUAUAUGCUUAAAAAAAGGUUCUUGAGGGGCUCUCCUGUGCAUUAUAUGAUUGUACCUCACUCUCCUUGUGUGCUCAAUGAAGAUGAAGAUACCCUUUAUUUCCUACAGUGGCUUGGGAAGGGGAGUAAUACCGUUACUUACUGGGUAAAAGGCCAGAGAAACGUUGUUGGGUUUGCUCCCAGUGUAGAGGUCUUCCAUGGCGGUGCAGGGCCAAGGUCCUCCAUUUGGUGAUGGCAGUGGUGUUAGCAUUUGGUGGUGCACCUACAUUAGAUUUAUGUUUUCGAUGCGUUGUGGCCUCUAAAGAUCGAACUGCAACGAGAUUAUUUAGAUGUUAUAACUUUUGUACCUUCUAUUAUUGUCAAAAGGAAAUACAGAAUGUUAGUUAUUGUAGUAUAUUUAGCUAUUUUCUUGAUUGUGUAUAAACAUUUCUGUUCUUUUCCAAA
Long non-coding RNA from Lolium rigidum, 1553 nucleotides. RefSeq lists it as uncharacterized. Lineage: Eukaryota; Viridiplantae; Streptophyta; Magnoliopsida; Poales; Poaceae. The transcript is spliced from 4 exons. The record is from RefSeq and is a predicted model, not a curated record.